AGACACUCUUAUGGGGCAAGACUUGCUUCAGUGUGGCUUUGUUGCUCACUGAGUCUGACCCCUGAGUGUGUCUCU
This 75-nucleotide microRNA precursor is filed under the name Myotis lucifugus (little brown bat). Its description in RNAcentral is "mir-9229 microRNA precursor family". It matches the Rfam family "mir-9229 microRNA precursor family". Lineage: Eukaryota; Metazoa; Chordata; Mammalia; Chiroptera; Vespertilionidae. The record is from Rfam by way of RNAcentral.